CCGCUGCUGUGUGUCCACCAUGACAGGGAGGUCUGGGGCGCGGAUGCCGACGAGUUCAGGCCAGAGAGGUUCGCCGAGGGGAUCUCCAAGGCGUCAGCGGACGCGCCGGCGUUCUUCCCGUUCGGGUGGGGCCCGCGGACCUGCGUCGGCCAGAGCUUCGCGCUGCUCGAGGCUAAGAUGGGGCUCGCCAUGAUUCUGCGGCGCUUCUCCUUGGAUCUCUCGCCGUCCUACGCGCACGCGCCCUUCCCCGUCGGCAUGCUGCAGCCAGAGCACGGCGCGCAACUCAGGCUCAAGAGGCUCCAUUGA
Molecule: ribosomal RNA, 306 nt
Filed under: Triticum aestivum (bread wheat)
Lineage: Eukaryota; Viridiplantae; Streptophyta; Magnoliopsida; Poales; Poaceae
Description: partial small subunit ribosomal RNA
Source: RNAcentral